UACGAAGGGGGCUAGCGUUGUUCGGAAUUACUGGGCGUAAAGGGCGCGUAGGCGGUGCUUCAAGUCAGGCGUGAAAGCCCCGGGCUCAACCUGGGAACUGCGCUUGAGACUGGAGAACUAGAGUUCGGGAGAGGAUGGUGGAAUUCCCAGUGUAGAGGUGAAAUUCGUAGAUAUUGGGAAGAACACCGAUGGCGAAGGCAGCCAUCUGGACCGACACUGACGCUGAGGCGCGAAAGCGUGGGGAGCAAACAGG
RNAcentral lists this ribosomal RNA (253 nucleotides) under uncultured bacterium. Its description in RNAcentral is "partial 16S ribosomal RNA". It matches the Rfam family "Bacterial small subunit ribosomal RNA", at positions 524 to 776 of the family's 1533-position model. The record is from RNAcentral.